AUUGAACGCUGGCGGCAGGCCUAACACAUGCAAGUCGAACGGUAACAGGAAACAGCUUGCUGUUUCGCUGACGAGUGGCGGACGGGUGAGUAAUGUCUGGGAAACUGCCUGAUGGAGGGGGAUAACUACUGGAAACGGUAGCUAAUACCGCAUAACGUCGCAAGACCAAAGAGGGGGACCUUCGGGCCUCUUGCCAUCGGAUGUGCCCAGAUGGGAUUAGCUAGUAGGUGGGGUAACGGCUCACCUAGGCGACGAUCCCUAGCUGGUCUGAGAGGAUGACAAGCCACACUGGAACUGAGACACGGUCCAGACUCCUACGGGAGGCAGCAGUGGGGAAUAUUGCACAAUGGGCGCAAGCCUGAUGCAGCCAUGCCGCGUGUAUGAAGAAGGCCUUCGGGUUGUAAAGUACUUUCAGCGGGGAGGAAGGGAGUAAAGUUAAUACCUUUACUCAUUGACGUUACCCGCAGAAGAAGCACCGGCUAACUCCGUG
Molecule: ribosomal RNA, 490 nt
Filed under: uncultured bacterium
Lineage: Bacteria
Description: partial 16S ribosomal RNA
Rfam family: Bacterial small subunit ribosomal RNA
Source: RNAcentral